CAAGUUGUCAAAAGUCAGCUGUAAGUAGGUGUAGGACCUGUGGUGGUUAUAUAUUGCUGCUUUCAUCGUGCACGUUAUUGUUCACAGCAUGCACAGAAAACAGAGAUCCUUAAAACUGUUCUUUAGUUUAGACACUGAGAUGUGAUAAAGUGGUUAGCGCCAUUCCAGAAGCACAGGUGUGCCAUGGAUAAUGUCCAUAAAAUCAAGUCUGAUUAUAUUCCUGACAAUCAAUCUGAAAUAAAACCAUGUGUGCUUUUGCUAAUGGAUCUGCAAUUGGACAGCUGAAAAGAAUUUGAAGAUGACCCUGUAAUCAGGCUUUUAAUUGUGGAUAACUCAUUCUGUGUUCCGACAAAGAGUUACAAAGUGUGGUGUUUCUCUGGGAAUUCCUCUGUCAAACAGUGUCAGGAUGAUCAAGAAGUCACACACCAAAUUAAUCUCUGAGAGCUGGGCUACAGCAGUUGCGGUCAGCUGGAGAGGAUUCAUUGUACUAAGGUGGAGGGCUAUUUGUGAAACAGCUUCGGUGCCCCUCAGAACUUUCACAGCAUCAGGAUCCAUUCCUCUGUGAGAAGAGGUCUGUGGGUUUAUUGCGUUCCAUCAGGAAACUCAGAUUUCAGGAUUUUGCCAUUUGCAAGCAGUAUGAAGAUGUCACCGUGGGAUAUACAGCUUGUUGUAAGCCCCUCAUGCCAAUUAAGAUGCCUGUACAAGGGCAAAAGAGGCACCUGGAGAAGUCCCACUAUUUGUUCAGGCCAGAGAUGAAGUCCUUGUGCUAAUUGCAAAGACACGUCCGAGUCAGAAGUGUUAGUCUCUGUUGUUCCAAGCACCUUACACCAAUACUUUCCUGCCAAAAGUAGCACAGGAGCAUGUCUAGUAGUGACUUGGACAGUGGCAAUGAAAAGGUGCCUUUUCCUUUGUGUUCACUGUGCUGAACAAAGCCUGAGCAUCUGGGCUUUUGGGACAGAGAAGUGAAUCAAUAACUCGAUGAGGAUUGUCAAGUAAUGCUGCUGUCUGCAUUGCCUUUAAUGGUUUUGGUCAAUAAGCUGCAAUUAUUUUACAAAUACGUGUUGUGUUCACUUCUAAAUCUAUCUUCCUGCUUCCUAUAUUAAUUUUUAAAAAUGAGAAAUGUCCCAAGUGCUUGCAUUGUAUGAAAUCUGUAUUUAAAAUGAAUUGGUAAAUAACAAAGGGACUUCAUUUGCUUAUUCAAAAGGCACACAUAUAAAGGAGCUAAUCUUCUGUAAUACAUUUUCCCCCAGUUUUUAUAUAACAUUCAUAAUAAAUCACCAUUUGACAGUUUUUGUAGACA
RNAcentral lists this long non-coding RNA (1300 nucleotides) under Anser brachyrhynchus (Pink-footed goose). RNAcentral's name for it is "lncRNA (ENSABRG00000022223.1)". Lineage: Eukaryota; Metazoa; Chordata; Aves; Anseriformes; Anatidae. The record is from RNAcentral.